UCAAAGGGAAAACUCAAUUCAUCACGAUAAGAUAGAGAGGGAGAAACACCAUAUGAUCCAACUAUAUUAACAAAGCUCGCGAUACAUCAAGAUCGUGCCAAAUCAAGAACACGAGAAAGAGAGAUAAAACACAUAGCUACUAGUACAAACCCUCAGCCCCGAGGGUGGACUACUCCCUCCUCAUCAUGGUGGCCGCCGGGAUGAUGAAGAUGGCCUCCGGUGAUGAUUUCCCUAUCUAGCAGGGUACCGGAACAGGGUCUAGAUUGGUUUUUCAUGGCUACAGAGGCCUACGACGGCGGAACUUGUGAUCUAGGGUUAUUUUGGGGGGUUUCUGUGUUUAUAGGAUCUUUUGGCGUUAAUCGCACGCGAAGAUGAGCCUAGAGGGGCCCACUAGGUACCAGAGCGAGCCAGACCCACCUGGCACGCCCUGGUGCCUAGUGGGGCCCUCGUGGCUCUUCUGGCCCUCUGACGAAGCUUCCAGUGCCUUUUUUCUUCCAAAAAAUCGUCAAAAAGUUUCGCUGCAUUUGGAGAAUUUUGAUUUCUGCACAAAAAACAACACCAUGGUAGUUCUACUGAAAACAGCGUCAGUCCAGGUUAGUUCCGUUUAAAUCAUAUAAAAUUGCACCCCAACCAUAUAAAAUUGUUGGAAACAUGGCAUGAAUACUUCAUAAAUUAUAGAUACGUUGGAGAUGUAUCAACUAUUGAUGUCUUCAUGUAAAAUUAUAUACUAUUGCUUUGAACCAUUCAAGUCAAAAUAUCCAUGCUAGAAAAGAAUAAAAAAUAUGAUGAAUAUGUUAGGUGGCAUUCCACAUCAAAAAAUUUGUUUUUGUCAUUUACCUACUCGAGAAUGAGCUGGAAUUAAACUUCAGGAUGCUUGAUACGUCUCCAACGUAUCUAUAACUAGAAGAUGCCCCGCGCGUUGCUACGGGAAGUUUGAACAAAUAAUUUGUAAGGAAUAAAAUACCAACUGCAUGAUAUACAUGCAAAAGAAAAUAAGGUAAUAAAGCGGAAGCUCAAUGUUGUAUUAUCAGUGCAUCAAAUGGUGUUUCGAACAUUAAGAAUAAUUUUCUGUUCAUCCAAAAAAUGUGGCUCACCCGCAAAAAGGUGGCUAAUAAAAAUUAAUCUUUUAUGUCCAUGCUUCAAGUUAGGCUAAAGGUUUUAGUUACAUUACAUCAUCUCAGCCAUUUAGAUGGUUCGUCGAUAUUGGUAUAUAGAUCAGAUUUAGAUACAGCACAUUCACGUAUCCUUGUACUCCCUCCGUUCCAAAAUAGAUGACUCAACUUUGUACUAACUUUGUCAUCUAUUUUGGAACGGAAGGGGUAUUACAUAACAAUAAAAUGAGUAAGUAACAUUUGUUGACAUUCUGUACAUGCAUCAAUACAUUUUGCCCGUCACUAAAUGAUACUCCCUCCGUCCGAUAUUACAUAUAUAUUGUGGAACGGAGGGAGUAUUUCUGAAGCUUUCGGAUGACCAACAUUACCAAGUGUAUCAAGUUUGUUCUCUCUCCAAUUUAGUCUCAAUACUGCCAUAUGGAACAAACAAAAUACUAUCAGUGAGUGUUGGGGACAGGGGAAUCGUCGCCUGAAAUCAAACAAAUCUUACUUAUAUCUGUUAUAACACAGUAGUACUACAAUAGGUGCUAUACUCGAGUUACUAUCAGUAUAAAAAUAGCCAUUUCAUAAACCUGGAGGAGAACUUGGGAAGAAUAUGUACCAGUAGGGAGACAAAAAUCUGCAGAGUAUGUAUAUGCAGUGAACGGACCGACGAAGAUGACUACUUGGUCGUCGUCCAGUGCGCACCACCUGAGAUGAUGGGGAGCACCAUCUCGGAUAUUAUUAGGAUAGGGAGCUCCAACCAUCAAUUACUGAAUACCUGUAACAAAAGUUGUAGAUGAGAGACGUUGUUGUUUCUUCAAGAGUAGACCGUUCCAUAUAUAUAGAUGGCAGAAGGCAUAAAGCAGUGGUUGUGUGCGCCUGUACAGUUCGUGUGAUCUCUUUUGAAUAAGAUUUUUUUAAGACAGAAUACCAAAUACGUACUGAAGAACAGGUACUGAACCUUGCAAAUCCAUCGCUGAUAGAAAGGAGCCAGACUUCCAGCGCAGAUGCCCCAAAGCAAAAAGGCACCACUGCUGCAGUAGAAUGUCACUUGCUAUGAAGGGCCACCAUUGCCGCAGUCAAUGUCGUCUCUGAAUCAGCCGAGGCGGCACCUGCGGGAGGACGUCGAUCUAGCACUCCUGCAAGUCAUGGCUAUCAAUAUCAAUGGAGGCCCUACCCGAUGUCACCACCAGCACAGCCCUUCAAGGCCGAAAAUAAAAAGGUCCACCGGCUGGAGACCUCCCGGGCGCGAUGUCCACUCCAUGGCUGAGUAGCCGGGAAGAGCGUCCAUCCAAGCGAGAGCCCAGCGAAUGCGAGGUGGGGAAGUUGAGCGGCACCGAGAUGGGUUGGCCGCUCCACCGGGAGCCUCCCGGCCUUCUGUCGAGGCACCCGACACAGGGCGGCAAGGUAAUCGCCGAUAGUGGCCGGAAUCGAUGUCGGCACAGUGGCAUCCGCCGAGAGGCGCACUUCUUCCAGGGUGGGGGCCCCUACGUUGGGGAAGCCGGAGGCAGGGCUGCGACGACUGCCUGUGGAUCUCGUUGCAAGGGGGCACGUCCUCGCCAUCGCUUACCUUGCCAAAUCGCAAGCGGCCCGGAGAUAAAUACCAGAUCGUAAGAGCAACUGAAUCAACAAAGUAAUUGUUGUGUAGUGGGAUUUGAUGAAGAUUGGAGAAGAUGAAGACGAAGGGGAAUCCGCUGCCGUGGGGAACUGGCGAGGCACUCUGUUUGGGAAGGAUGCGAUGGGAAUCGCCACAGACGGAAAUAGAGGUGCGUGGGCAGCCUCUCUCGCCGGUCCUACUGAUAGUAACUGAAGCUAACAUGACUGUUCUCUGGUGUACAUGUUUGGUCCCACAAUGUAAUCCUCUAACUAAACGUUGAUGUGGCACUGAUGCUGACGUGGAUAAGUUGCAUGUGAAGAGAAAUAGGAUAAUGGGGAUGAACUAUUUAGUUAUUAUAGAUUUUUGAUUGUUCCAUGCUAUUGUAUUAUCAAUCUUGGAUGUUUUAUAUACACUUUCAAGCAAUUAUAUAUCUUUGUUUGGGACUGACCUAUUAACUUAGUGCCCAGUGCCAGUUGAUGUUUUUUUGCUUGUUUUGGUUUUGCAGAAUAUUAGUACCAAAUGAAGCCCAAGUGCUACGAAACUUUUUGGAGAUUUUUUUGGCAAUAAGAGACCCUCGAAGCUUCGGGAGGGCACAAGAAGAUGGAGAAGUGGCCCACGAGGCACCAGGGCGCGCCCCGGGGGGAGGUGCGUGCCAUGGUUGCUUGUGGGGCCCAUGUGGCUUCGUUUGGCCUAACUCCACCUCUAUAAAUUCUUUAAAAUCGUGAAACCAACAGGGGAGUCCACGAAAUACUUUUUCCACAGCCGCAAGUUCCAGAACCACGAGAUCCCAUCUGGAGGCUUUUUCCGGCACUCUACCAGAGGGGGAUUCGAUCACGGAGGGGCUCUACAUCAUCCUUGCUGCCCUUCCAUGAUGCAUGAGUAGUUUACCAUGGACCUAUGGGUCCAUAGAUAGUAGCUUGAUGGCUUCUUCUUCUCUAUUUAAUCUUCAAUACAAUGUUCUCCUCGAUAUUCUUGGAGAUCUAUUCGAUGUAACGACUUUUUGCGGUGUGUUUAUUGGGAUCCGAUGAAUUGUGAGUUUAUGAUCAGAUCUAUCCAUGAAUAUUAUUUGAGUUUUCUCUGAACUCUUUUAUGCAUGAUUAAUAUAGCUUCGUGUUUCUCUCCGAUCUAUUGAUUUGGUUUAGCCAACUAGAUUGAUUUUUUUUACAAUGGGAGAGGUGCUUUGUAAUGGGUUCGAUCUUACGGUGCUCAAUCCCAGUGACAAAAAGGGACAUGACGCGUAUGUAUCGUUGCUAUUAAGGUUAAAAAUAUGGGGUUUAUUCAUACGCGAGUUUAUCUUGUCUACAUCAUGUCAUCUUGCUUAAGGCGUUACUCCGUUUUCUCAUGAACUUAAUACACUAGAUGCAUGCUGGAUAGCGGUCGGUGCGUGGAGUAAUAGUAGUAGAUGCAGAAUCGUUUUGAUCUACUUGUCUAAACAUCAUAGAAAUUUGAUCAAUAAGAAUGAUGUGAUCGACAAGACCCAUCCGUUAGCUUAGCAUAUUGAUCAUUCAGUUUAUUGCUAUUGGUUUCUUCAUGUCAAAUACUUAUUCCUUCUAGUAUGAGAUUAUGCAACUCCCAGAUACCGGAGGAAUACCUUGUGUGCUAUCAAACGUCACAACGUAACUGGGUGAUCAUAAAGAUGCUCUAUAGGUAUCUCCGAAGGUGUUUAUUGAGUUGGCAUAGAUAGAGAUUAGGAUUUGUCACUCCGAGUAUCGUAGAGGUAUCUCUGGGCCCUCUCAGUAAUACACAUCAUAAGCUUGCAAGCAAAUGACUAAGGAGUUAGUCACGAGGUGAUGUAUUAUGGAACGAGUAAAGAGACUUUCCGGUAAGGAGAUUGAACUAGGUAUGAAGAUACCGACGAUCGAAUCUCGGGCAAGUAACAUACCCAUGGACAAAUGGAAUUAUGUAUGUUGUCAUAACGGUUCGACCGAUAAAGAUCUUCGUAGAAUAUGUAGGAGCCAAUAAGGCAUCCAGGUUCCGCUAUUGGUUAUUGACCGGAGAGGUGUCUUGGUCAUGUCUACAUAGUUCUCGAACCCGCAGGGUCCCCAUGCUUAACGCUCGUUGACGAUAUAGUAUUAUAUGAGUUAUGUGAUUUGGUGACCGAAUGUUGUUCAGAGUCCCGGAUGAGAUCACGGACAUGACGAGGAGUCUCGAAAUGAUCGAGAGGUAAAGAUUGAUAUAUAGGACGAUGGUAUUCAGACACUGGAAGUGUUCCGGAGGGUGUCGGGUACAUAUCGGAUCACCAGAAGGUUUCCGGGCAUCCCCGACAAAAGAUAUGGGCCUUAUGGGCCUAGAGGGGAAACGCACCAGCCACAAGGGGCUGGUGCGCUCCCCAUAUGGGCCGGCCAAGGUGGAUAAGGAAAGGUCAAGGAGGAAAGGAAAGAAAAGGAAUAGGAUUCCCCCUUCCUUGCCUCUUCGCCUCUUUCCUUUUCCCUCCGAUAUAUAUGGCAGGGGGCACGGCUUGGGAGGAGCCCAAGUAGGAUUCGGUCCUACUUGGGGCGCCUCCUGGCCUCUCCCCUCCCCCUCCCACCUAUAUAUAUGUGGGGAGGGGCACCCUAGCACAAACCACACAAUUGCCUAGCCGUGUUCGGCGCCCCCCUCCACCGUUUACACGUCCGGUCAUAUUAUCGUAGUGCUUAGGCGAAGCACUGCAGAGAUCACUUCACCAUCACCGUCACCAUGCCGUCGUGCUGACGGAACUCAUCUACUACCUUGACAUCUUGCUGGAUCAAGAAAGCGAGGGACGUCACCAAGUUGAACGUGUGCAGAACUCGGAGGUGUCGUACGUUCGGUACUUGAUCGGUCGGAGCUAGAAGAUGUUCGACUACAUCAACCGCGUUGUUAAACGCUUCCGCUUACGGUCUACGAGGGUACGUAGACACACUCUCCCCCUUGCUUCUAUGCAUCUCCAUGGAUAGAUCAUUGCGUGUGCAUAGAAAUUUUUUUGUUUUCCAUGCAACGAUUCCCAACAAUACCUUCAAGCACUCACCUCCCCGGCAACGGCGUCAGUAAAGAGCUUGAUGUCUACUAUGAGAAUUUAUUCUUGUAGACUCCUGUUGGGCCUCCAAGCGCAAAGUUUUGUAGGACAGUAGCAAUUUUCCUUCAAGUGGAUGACCUAAGGUUUUUCAAUCUAUGGGAGGCGCAGGAUGAAGAUGGUCUCUCUCAAACAACCCUGCAACCAAAUAAAAAAGAGUCUCUUGUGUCCCCAACACACCAAAUACAAUGGUAAAUUGUAUAGGCGCACUUGUUCAGCGAAGAGAUGGUGAUACAAGUGUAGUAAUAAUAGCAAAAAUUGAUUUUUGUAAUAUGAACAAUAAAAAAAUAGCAAGGUAGCAAGUAACGAAAGUGAGCACAAACGGUGUUGCAAUGCUUGAAAAUGAGGCCUAGGGUUCAUACUUUCACUGGUGCAAUCUCUGAACAAUGCUAAUAUAAUUGGAUCAUAUAACCAUCCCUCAACAUGCGAUGAAGAAUCACUCCAAAGUUCUUAUCUAGCGGAGAACAUAAGAAGAAAUUGUUUGUAGGGUACGAAACCACCUCAAAGUUAUCCUUUCCAAUCGAUCUAUAUAGCUACUCCUAUAAGUGUCACAAAUAACUCAAGAGUUCGUACUAAAAUAACACCAUAUGAUACACAUCAACCAACUCUAAUGUCACCUAGAUACUCCAAUGUCACCACGAGUAUCCGUGAGUUGAUUAUACGAUAUGCAUCAAACAAUUUCAGAUUCAUAAUACUAAAUCCAACACAAAGAACUUCAAACAGUGUCCCAAGAUUUCUAGCAGAGAAAUAAGGAUGAAAACUUGCAUCAACCCCGCAUAGAUUACCCCAAUGUCACCUCGAGAAUCCGUGAGUUGAGUGCCAAGACAUACAUCAAGUGCUCUCAAAUCCAUAGAAGUAUUCAAUCCGAUAAUAACGAAAUCUCAAAGGGAAAACUCAAUUCAUCACGACAAGACAGAGAGGGAGAAACACCAUAUGAUACAACUAUAUUAACAAAGCUCGCGAUACAUCAAGAUCGUGCCAAAUCAAGAACACGAGAAAGAGAGAUAAAACACAUAGCUACUAGUACAAACCCUCAGCCCCGAGGGUGGACUACUCCCUCCUCAUCAUGGUGGCCGCCGGGAUGAUGAAGAUGGCCUCCUGUGAUGAUUUUCCUAUCUAGCAGGGUGCCGGAACAGGGUCUAGAUUGGUUUUUGACUGCUACAGAGGCUUACGAUGGCGGAACUUGUGAUCUAGGGUUAUUUCUCAGGCUUUCUGUGUUUAUAGGAUCUUUUGGAGCCAAUCUCACGCGACGAUGAGCCUCGAGUGGCCCACUAGGUACCAGAGCGAGCCAGACCCACCUGGCACGCCCUGGUGCCUAGUAGGGCCCUCGUGGCUCUUCUGGCCCUCUGACGAAGCUUCCAGUGCCUCUUUUCUUCCAAAAAAUCGUCAAAAAAUUUCGCUGCAUUUGGAGAACUUUGAUUUCUGCACAAAAAACAACACCAUGGUAGUUCUGCUGAAAACAGCGUCAGUUCAGGUUAGUUCCGUUUAAAUCAUAUAAAAUUGCACCCCAACCAUAUAAAAUUGUUGGAAACAUGGCAUGAAUACUUCAUAAAUUAUAGAUACGUUGGAG
This 7292-nucleotide long non-coding RNA is filed under the name Triticum aestivum (bread wheat). Its description in RNAcentral is "long non-coding RNA (TAES_LNC017797)". The record is from RNAcentral. Lineage: Eukaryota; Viridiplantae; Streptophyta; Magnoliopsida; Poales; Poaceae.